Molecule: long non-coding RNA, 2980 nt
Organism: Vicia villosa (hairy vetch)
Lineage: Eukaryota; Viridiplantae; Streptophyta; Magnoliopsida; Fabales; Fabaceae
Exons: 3
Source: RefSeq, a predicted model, not a curated record
UGUACUUCCAUUUCACUUUUGAGCACAUUUGGUUUCCCUCUAAUUGAUAGAUACCCAAUCCUCUGCAAAACAGCUUCAUCAUUGGCCACAUUGCUCAUUUGAAAAUUAUCCCUCUCUUCUUCCUCCUCACUUUCGUUCUCUCUCUCUCAUCUUCUCUUUUCCCUGAAACCCUAGAAUAAAAAAAAAAACCCUAAACUCCUCUCUCUAUUCUGAUUCAGAUCUAGAAACAUGGAAGAAGGAUAUCAUUCCUCUCGCCGCCGCCACCAUCGUGUAUUCUGUCAUCGUCUCAUCGUGCCACCACCAAUGGUUUUGCCGCCGUCAUCUCUUCUCGCCACCACCACUAUUUUUGGCGCUGUCAUCUCUUCUCGUCACCACCACUGUUUUUGGCGCUGUCAUCUAUUCUCUUCGAAUGUGUAUCUUCUUGCCGACAAAAGAUUUUCUUUUCAGUGUUUUGAAAUGUAUCAGAUUUUCUUUUCAUUCUAAAUCGAAAGAAUGACAUGCCACCAAAAGAACUUGAUGUUGUCAUUUUCCAUGGUGCAUCAGGUUUAAAGAUGACAUGCCACCAAAAGAGAAAGAUCAAUGAAAGACAAAUCGUUCAUACGUUAUGGAAGGCCACACCGAAAUCAACUCAAACACAGAUGACAAAUAUGCGUUUGAGUGGAUUCCCGUGAUGGUGGAACUGGUUGGAAAGACAACUACCUGCAACAUCAAAUCCAUAAGAAAAACAAGUCCUAAAGAAUUUCCAAAUCACGCUGCCGAGACCAUAUUCAGAACAAAAGACAAGUCCAAGACCUGGCUCAAGCACUCAAAGGCAACAACAUCACCCUUUAGUAGCAUCAUAUAGGUUCUGGUUGUGCUAGCUUUCGGCAGUCCGUUUUAGAUUGCCAUUUAGUAGCAGUUUGGUGAGUAGGUUUGGUAGCAGUUGUGGUGAGCAUAUAUGUUUAUGUGAACUGUUUUAACUAAAUGUUUAUGAUCAUGUUAUUUUGCCUUCAAAUUUAUGGCCAUGUCAAGAAUUAUAUGAUUCGAAUCAUGUAGCGGUGCCAUUAGAUGAUCAUGUACAUAGUGAACCUUCCCUUGAUGGUAUUGAAGAGUUGGUCCAUGAAUUUAACAAAGAUAACAUGAUAGUUCUUUCUAUCUUUUAAGGGAGUAUGUGAUGUAUGAUGAUAGUUUUUGAAUGGUUCUUAUACCAAUUUAUAUCUGUUAUUGGAUUGUUCAGUCAUGGUUUUAGUCUAUAUUUUAACGUUGCAAGAUACUUAUAUUUGUGGUUUCAUUUGUAGGAUAGCUUUAUGAGUCGAUGCAGGUCUGGAAUCGUUUUAACCAUGUUAUACAUGCCUGCAAAGGCCUGUUCCUGCUCAAACGUUGAUAUUAGCGGGCUCUGGAAACUUCACUUUCCGCUCCUCCUUUGUCAUCACAAUGCUCAGCAGUUUCUUUUUAAGUUCUCCAUGCAAAUUCUCUUUUCAAGUUCUUUGCAAGUUCUCCAUAUCUUUAUUUUUUGUUUAGAAAUAUUCCAAGAUGCAAACUUGUCAUUAACCUGCUAUAACUUAUCAUUAAACCUUUGUGAACAGGAAGCUGAGAGAAAAAGGACAUGAACUACAAUGUGGCUAUCUACUUACUGCUAUUUCUAAUGUUCUUAGUUUCUCAGAUUUUGUCUAUUGUUGUCGUAUAGCAUGGUUGAGUUCAUAUCUUUUCACGUGGUUCGGUUAAGCUCUUUCUCAGGUGUGUUAUCCCAAAAUGAUUCACAAACAUAAACAUCUGCUUCUCAAACAACAUAUGAAAUCUAAACUUUCUCUAAAAUGAGAGAAGUCAAAACAAUUGGAGAAAUUAUUAUCCUCUAACAUGAGUCAUAUGCCGAUACCGUUGGAACUACAAUAUGCAAUUUAGAGCUAACAAUAGUAGCUGGUACAUGAAUAUCAAGUCCCUAAUUUUACAUCCAUUGAUAGUGCAACAUGUUACCUUUAUUCAUUUGUAUGGAAGUCUGUUUGUUUCCUGGCUUUCUUUGUACUUUAUACAUUUGUUUAGGGUCCUUAUAACCAUAUAAAUUUAUGUGUUAAGUUGCAUAUUAGGAAUAACACUACUUGCCAGUAAUGUAGUUGCAGUGAAGCAUUGAAUAAAUUGAAGAAUCAAAUAAAUUAACAGUAAUGCACAUGCAAAAUCUACACAUCCAUUACAUUUUGUACACACUGCUUUCUAUGAGUAUACCAUAAUUCAACUUAUGUACAUUUCAUAUAAUAUAUAGGGAAAUGCUUAAUGGUGCAACUCAUUUAUGAAAGCAUACGAACAACAUGGCAGAGCAGUAAAAAGUCUAUAACCUUGGCAUACAUCAACUGCUUACCUUAUUUCUUAAAACAACACAUAACACAUUGUUGUUUCACAGUUUGCAUCAAUAUAUGACUGACACGGUUGCCAUAAAAGUAUAUGUAUCUCCAUUAGAUUGUAUGGGUCUGUCGAGUUUACUAUUUUAAUCUUAUACACACUUCUCUGAGCCUAUGAAUUUGGAUUUUGCUUCGAUUUGAGGCACUGAAUAACUAUGACAUGCAAUUCUUAGUGGUAGAUAUAAGAGUUGUGGUCACCUUAGUUUUCAGUUAUAGAAGUCACAAAAUUGUUUCCUGCAUGAAGAAGAGAGACCCCUAAGAAGAGAGACCCCUAUUAAUUAAGAGCUUUGGUGUUUUAUCUAUACAUUUAUUUUUACUUUAUCUCAUUUUUAAAUGAAAAGCUGGAGGUUGCACACAUGAUAUACCUUGCACACAUGAUAUCCCUGCACUUUUGUUUAUUUGUCUCUAUUAUUGCUCCUUUUAGAGAAGAACCGCAUAACUCUCUAACAGCUCUUCUAUCACCGCUACAAAAUUUGAAGAUAUGAUUUUCUUAAUCCUUUUGUGUUGCCUCUUUGAAAAAUAUAGAUAACUUAAGCAUUGUUGAUCUUGUGUCUUACUUCAAAUUUAAAAUUAACUGUUAUCUUAAGUGCUGCUUGGGUAACAUCGUU